Molecule: long non-coding RNA, 2085 nt
Organism: Mesocricetus auratus (golden hamster)
Lineage: Eukaryota; Metazoa; Chordata; Mammalia; Rodentia; Cricetidae
Exons: 3
Source: RefSeq, a predicted model, not a curated record
ACUCGCGGGCUCGGCAAAGUGAACGCUCCUAAUUGGACAGUACCAAUUCCCGCGGCUCAGAACCGCCCCGACCAAAGGCUGCGGCUGCAAGUCAGAGUGUUGGGGACCAAACCCUGAAGUGGCAGGGGUGAGGUGGCUGUUGAAAGAGCCCUUUGCACUCUGAAGAGCAACAAAGGAAGCCGGAAGGGGGGCACUAUCUGAGGGGGCCAGCCUACCGGGGAGUGAAGGCACAAACCACGAGAACGCCUGCAAACUUUCCGAGCAGAGACAAGGAAGCCUCAAGCGGCAGCCUGCAGUACUUAGCCAGCCAGGCAGCAGGGAACCAGCACAGGGCUUCGCUGACUCCCAAGCACCCCACAAAUCCAGCUCCAACCUGUCUUCCUCGGGGAUGCCAUCAAAGAAGCCACGUCCUAUGAAAGGUGCCACAUAACCCAGCAGUCUGCCUGGUACUCACACGUGCCAUUAUACUUUAUUUAGGACUAUCUGAUCCAUGCCAGCCUCUCUAGAAUAGCACAGUCUGGGAGAACUUCCACUGUGACAGAGAUAUCCGUCUGUGCUCUCUUACCCCAGUGCCAUGUGACUGGUGAGCUCUUAAAAGACAGUUUGCAUGAGCAUCGAUCUGUUUAUUUUGUUUAAAUGAUUUCAGUGUAAGUAGCCACAGGUGAUCAGGGGCCACAAUUAUCAACUUUCACCACUGUAUGCCCAGCACUCAACACAAUGUGCACACAUAGUAAUCACUCAGUAAAUAUUUGUUCAAAGAUCAAAUCUGUAAAUCGAAGAUAUUACUAGUUAAUUGAUAUAGAUUGUAUCUUUUCCACAGAGGGGGAAAUAUUUUUAGCAUGACAGGUGUCGGGGGUCUCCUAAAGUUCUAGAGAGGUGAAUGUCACUUGUAAGAAACUCGUUUCUCGGGGGAAGCUGGGACAACCGUGGAAACAUACUGACCAUCCCUCUGCAGUCUGCUGCGGAAGGGCCCGGAUGGUGGUGCAUGCUCACACGUGGUCCACAGGCUCCACUGAAUACACGGAAGAGAAGCAGACACCGGUGUGCCAUCACCGGGGAGGUGACAAAAAGCCUUAGAUCAGAUCCAGAUCCACUUUUCUACAGUUAAGUAAUGUCCAGGGAGGAACAGGCCACAAAGUAUAAAAAGCAGCAUGUUAAAGAUACAAAAGCAACGACAGCGGUAACUUUCUGACCAGGGCCAAAGAAGACUAUCCCAUAGCGUCCAUCCUGGGAACUGUGAAAUCCCACAUGGUGGCCGUGACCACACGAAGACAUCUCCUCACACACCUCCCUAGCCUUGUUUCUUCCACCUUGCUUUCUGCACUAAGGACAUCUCUUCAUCCCUCUCACUUCCUGAGGGCCUCCAUGCCAGGGGCUUCACAGCCUCCAACAGUCCUCUCCCACAGUCCUUUGAGAGUCUUAGCACUGUCUGCAUCCACAGAUGAAUAGCUCAAGGCUGGUGACUGGCCUGCAAGCUCACAGCUAGUCUACGGUCCACCAGCCUGCUCUUCCCUCCUGAGGGGCUAACCUGUUUCCCCUGUGCCCGGCACAGUGCAUGCCCCCAUAGCAGGUCCACACGGCGUUUGCAUUCAUCUGGGCUUGCAUUCUGCGUGCUUUUGGAUGUCAGUGAAGUAGAGAAAAGCUUGCAGACAAGGUGAAGGAGCCCUGUCUUGUAGCAUUAUGUCUGGGGCACAAACACUUACGCUUAAGCUUGUUUCAAGCUACCAGUCUAUGCACAGACUGAGUGUCCAAUGGUGGCUCUCUGAACUGAGCUCACCUCCGGGUGCCACUGUCCCCUCUUCUCUUCCAGCAGCAUUCUCACACCUCUCUGCAUCCCCAGGAAACUGUGUCUGCUGUGCUGAGGCCUCUUCACCAGCACUCCUCACUAGUCUACUAUUCCACAGAGCUCUGGGCUCACCCCACACUGCCAGGUCCCCUGCAACUUUCUACUGACAAGCAGUGCAUUUUAGUAGUGGGGGGAUCUGCUACAGUCUGGCCUUUCCGCUAGCAAGCUGUGUGCCUCAGUUUACUUCUCUGUAAAGUGCUGAUAAAUAAUAAUAGUCGCUAUGCCUUUUGUGGCAGUUG